CGGUAACAGCUCAAAUUUGAAAUCUGGCUCUUCCGGAGUCCGAGUUGUAAUUUGUAGAAGAUGCUUUGGGUUGUGGGUUCGGCCUAAGUUCCUUGGAACAGGACGUCAUAGAGGGUGAGAAUCCCGUAUGUGGCCGAGGCCCGCGCCUAUGUAAAGCUCUUUC
Molecule: ribosomal RNA, 163 nt
Filed under: Erysiphe sp.
Lineage: Eukaryota; Fungi; Ascomycota; Leotiomycetes; Helotiales; Erysiphaceae
Description: partial large subunit ribosomal RNA
Rfam family: Eukaryotic large subunit ribosomal RNA
Source: RNAcentral